CUAUCUGCUCAGUUGAUUUUGUAAUCUAAUUCUUUGCUAAACUUGCAGGAUUUGAUUCUUCUAUUGCUAACAUCUGGAAGAGAUCCUGGCAUCAUUCCUCGAAAUGCACAUCCACCUGAACCGGAAGGCUAUGAUGGGAGUGUAGAAGGAGCUCAAACACCACAGUUACGCUUGCCCCGCAUUAAGGAAGUUGAGGUGAGGCAUACGAGACUUGAUAAGUCAGUGAGUAUGGCCUAUUUCCUCCGUCAUAAGUUCCUUCUUGUUGUAGUCCUGAUAGAGAGUCAGGGCUCGACUGAAGGAUGAAUCCUGCAGAUUAUAAGCGAUUUGUGGGUAGAACUCAGUUAUAAUCUUUUGGCAUAGAGAUUGACCGNAGCUUACUCGUGUAAGCGUUGCGAGCGAAGCUUACACGAGGGCUACACGUUCUAUCGUGUAGCCCAUUUCUUUGAUAGUGUAAGGCGCGUGUGAUGCACGCGCCAAUUUAAAAAAAAAUCGAAUUGACCGUUGCUGCCUCGAUUUGCGUGAAUUGACCGUUCAUUUUUUUUUCUCUUCUUUUUCUUCUAUUUAUUCUUCUUCUUCCCCAUUUUUUCCCUACACCUUCUUCAUCCUCACUUCUUCUUUUCUUCCUCUCUCUACACACUCCAUGGAUCCACACAAUCCAAAUUACUAUGACCUAAAUUGGUGCCCCGAUCUAUCCGACGAAUAUCAUCCCGAUUUAUCGGGGUGUAACUUGGGGGAUGCUCCACAGUCCGGCAUUGGAGCGGUCCGACCAGAACUUGAAAAAAAUCACCGCCGAGUAUGCCAAAAAGAACGAGCUCAAGGAGAGGGAGCUCGAUAUGCAACUCCUCAGUCUGGAUACGACGCAUAUGAGCGAUGCACAAAGGAUGGCCCACGAGCACAUGGUCCAAGAAAUGCUCAAGCGUCGUGGACUUAUCUAGACUAUGAUUUUAAUUUAUGUAAUUUAAAUUAUGUUUUUAAUUUUUUAAAUUUUAAGUUUUUUAUUUUAAUGAUCCACUAGCUAACGGAUCCAGCUGAGGAGAACAUCGUGGAGAGUAUUAAAUUCUGCUCAUGGAAAUGGUUGAAGGCGCACUACCCAUCUUCCUUUUAUGCCUCUCUGCAUGAGUGGAGUUCACAUCCUAUUCUUUGUAUGCCGACUAAUCGUUAGUCUCCUCUUUCUUUUGCUCUCAGUUUUGCUGUUUUCAAUUUUAUGGAGAUGUCUUUUUGAGUACUUCUGGUACUCUUCCGUUGGAAUGAGAAUUUCUUUUACUUUUCAAAAAAAAAAAGAAGAAAAUUAUUGACAAGAAAUAGUAACCUAAAAAAUUGAAGCAAACUCCAUUAGUGAUGGAGUGCAGUAAAAGCGUGAAAAAUCCCGACAAAUGGAAGCGAUUUAUAUUUCCCGUCUCUUGAAAAAAAAAAAGAAAAAAAGGAGGAAGUGGCAAAACGGUCCACAACCAACUCCUCCUGGGCCCACACCAGUUCACUAGCCCAAUCAGCAGUGCCCACGUCACUUUGACCCUUCUGUAAAGCGAGAACCCUCCCACUCGAAUACUCACCUGUCCUCACACACAAAAGCACACAACACACACACACACACCGAGUGAGAGAGAGAGCAAUCCCUUGUUUCCCCAAACACGCCCCCUGCUCCGCCGCAUGGCCUGUCGGCCGGAAUGUUUAGCUCGAUCACUUUGAUAGGCUGUUCUGCUGCGGAGUUCGAAUUAGCCCGCGUUCUCCACGCUUGCUGAUUUCGUGUGUGUGUGUGUGUGUUUGUUUGAGUAGGGUUUGUGGUGGAAAAAAAAAAUUGAGCUUGGAGUUGGGGGGAGAUUUGGGGAAACAAAAUGUACGUGGUUCCUCCUCCGAAUCGGGCCGAUCCGUUAGCUGGAUCCACUAAUGGCUCCGACGAGCUCAUGGUUUAUCAGACUUGGAAAGGCAGUAAUGUGGGUUUCUCUCUCUCUCUCUUGCUCAGCUCGAUUGAAGUUUUUUUAGGUUAAUAUCUUCGUUCGUUAUUAAUAAAUUUCGCGAAAUUGAUAUUAGGUUCAGUCAAUUUGAGCAAUUGGUGCUUGAGCUUUGCUGAUUGUAGUUUUUUUAAGAGAGAAAAGAACAUUUCGGGUUAAGGCUAAGUGUUUGUUUGUACUUGGUGCGAAAGAGAUGAAUGAAGAAAACAUGUAGUCAAAGUGCCAAUGUUUCUUGUGAAGAUGUCAAAAACUAGAGAACUUUUAUGGAGAAUUUGAUAAAUCUGAAAUUUGAUUCUGUACUUGACUCGUUCGAUAGAUGAUACUGGUAUUUACUAGUUCUGACACCUUUUUAUGGACAAAUUAUAUAUACAAGUUUUGAUUAUCUUAUUUCAUGGAAAAUUAUUACUCCAUAGAACACUUACUAUCACUGUUUAAAAUGAUUAAAUCAUGAAAAUGUGAGAUGAGGAUUCUGUUUGACCCCCGGUAUGCCAUUUAGAUAUUUAGUUUUGGCUACAAAAGAUACUUUUUAUUGACUUUUUACUGCUGCCUGCUGUGUACGAAUGAGAAUCAUGAUGCGCUAAACACCAGCAGACAUAUGGUUGUUAUGUACAUUGCGUGAGUCGUCACUUGUUCAUUUUGUGACUGUUAGAUCACUGUUCUUCUUGCAGAAAUUUUUUCUCCAAGGAAGGUUUGUUUUUGGACCAGAUGUAAGGUCGCUGGCUCUAACUAUAUUCCUGAUUGUGGCUCCUGUAGCUGUUUUCUGCAUCUUUGUUGCUCGAAAACUGAUGGAUGAUUUUGUUGAUGACUGGGGAGUAUCAAUUAUGGUUAUUGCCAUCGUGUUCACAUUUUAUGUACGUUAGUUCUCUCACCUCUCCCUGUAGCAAACCUUGUUUAGCCAAGAGUUGGUGUCUAUAUUGUGCUAAUAAUUUUUCUGGAAAUUGAACUACAGAGGAUUGAAAUUUGUCGCUAAAUAAACUCUUUGGUAAUCCACUUGCUUAACUUUAAUCUGUUGGAUUUGUACUUGUUCUUGCUUAAUGGAACAUAAAACCUUUGAAUUCAAGGCAGUGUGCCUAAGAGACAGUGAUUUUGCAAAUAAUUCGAUGCAGGUUUUCUCAUUUCCUGUAUAUGGCUAUAUAGAUGUAGGUAAAGGUUUGUAAAAGCAUUUAUAGCACAAGGUACAUGUAGUCCUGUUUGAGGCAAGAAUGCACAUUGAUAUCUGCUCAGUUGAUUUUGUAAUCUAAUUCUUUGCUAAACUUGUAGGAUUUGAUUCUUCUAUUGCUAACAUCUGGAAGAGAUCCUGGCAUCAUUCCUCGAAAUGCACAUCCACCUGAACCGGAAGGCUAUGAUGGGAGUGUAGAAGGAGCUCAAACACCACAGUUACGCUUGCCCCGCAUUAAGGAAGUUGAGGUUAAUGGUGCUACAGUGAAGAUCAAGUAUUGUGACACCUGCAUGCUUUAUCGACCUCCGCGUUGCUCCCACUGUUCCAUUUGCAAUAACUGUGUCGAACGAUUUGACCAUCACUGCCCUUGGGU
Molecule: long non-coding RNA, 3481 nt
Filed under: Salvia miltiorrhiza (redroot sage)
Lineage: Eukaryota; Viridiplantae; Streptophyta; Magnoliopsida; Lamiales; Lamiaceae
Description: long non-coding RNA (SMIL_LNC010345)
Source: RNAcentral